GAUCAUGGCUCAGGAUGAACGCUAGCGGCAGGCUUAACACAUGCAAGUCGAGGGGCAGCGGGGAGUAGCAAUACUCCGCCGGCGACCGGCGCACGGGUGCGUAACGCGUAUGCAACCUACCUUUAACAGGGGCAUAACACUGAGAAAUUGGUACUAAUUCCCCAUAACAUUCGAGAAGGCAUCUUCUUGGGUUAAGAACUCCGGUGGUUAAAGAUGGGCAUGCGUUGUAUUAGCUAGUUGGUGAGGUAACGG
Molecule: ribosomal RNA, 252 nt
Filed under: uncultured bacterium
Lineage: Bacteria
Description: partial 16S ribosomal RNA
Rfam family: Bacterial small subunit ribosomal RNA
Source: RNAcentral